This 312-nucleotide long non-coding RNA is filed under the name Homo sapiens (human). RNAcentral's name for it is "HSALNT0194336". The record is from RNAcentral. Lineage: Eukaryota; Metazoa; Chordata; Mammalia; Primates; Hominidae.
AUCCCUACCUGAUGCAGAAAUGACCCACAUUUUCCAGCUGAGGCAAAUAGAGGCCUCAGGAGAUUAGCUAACUUGCCCAAGUUCACACAAAUAACUAAGACAAAAUUUGAAGCCACUUUGUUUCACCUUGAAAAGCUGGUGAGGAAGACAAACUGGAUUUUUAACUGACUGCAAUAUGACAAACAUAUGUGAAAAAAGAAAGACACAAUAGGAAAAUGGAGUGAAAGAAGGGCAGAGAGUGAAGGACAGUGUAAUUGAGAAUAAUCCAAAGCGAGCACCUGCAAAGGGAGUGGGGUGAAGUAUCGAGUUCAU